AAGUUGUAAUAAGGUCUCUGUUGGUGAAUCAGUGGAGGGAUCAUUACUGAGUCAUAUACUUAAAUAAUCCUUUUGUGGACCUGAAUUAAAUCAUUGCCUUGAUGGAUGGUCCUCUGCCAAAACCCAUGUGGUUAUGGAUAGAGGAUUAGAUAGUCCGACAUGCUUAAGGCGUCUGGCGCCAGCCAUUGGCCCUAACCAAUUAAACUCUAAUAACCUUACCUUCUGAGUUUUAAUACAAAAAAAAAUAAGUCAAAACUUUCAAUAAUGGAUCUCUUGGCUUUG
Molecule: unclassified non-coding RNA, 282 nt
Filed under: fungal sp.
Lineage: Eukaryota; Fungi
Description: partial internal transcribed spacer region
Source: RNAcentral